GGAGCUGUGGCUCCAUGGUAGAGCAUCUGCUUUGCAUGUGGAAAGUCUCAGGUUCAAUCCCCAGCAUGUCCA
RNAcentral lists this transfer RNA (72 nucleotides) under Sphaerodactylus townsendi. Its description in RNAcentral is "tRNA-Ala". It matches the Rfam family "tRNA". From Rfam's summary of the family: Transfer RNA (tRNA) molecules are approximately 80 nucleotides in length. Their secondary structure includes four short double-helical elements and three loops (D, anti-codon, and T loops). Further hydrogen bonds mediate the characteristic L-shaped molecular structure. tRNAs have two regions of fundamental functional importance: the anti-codon, which is responsible for specific mRNA codon recognition, and the 3' end, to which the tRNAs corresponding amino acid is attached (by aminoacyl-tRNA synthetases). tRNAs cope with the degeneracy of the genetic code in two manners: having more than one tRNA (with a specific anti-codon) for a particular amino acid; and 'wobble' base-pairing, i.e. permitting non-standard base-pairing at the 3rd anti-codon position. The record is from RNAcentral. Lineage: Eukaryota; Metazoa; Chordata; Lepidosauria; Squamata; Sphaerodactylidae.